Non-coding RNA from Xylariaceae sp. AK1471, 108 nucleotides. NCBI's taxonomy places the organism in Eukaryota, Fungi, Ascomycota, Sordariomycetes, Xylariales, Xylariaceae. The record is from the annotation of a GenBank genome assembly.
ACCCGGCUGGUGUAAUGGUAACACACUUGCGCAGAGAGAUACUGGCAUCUUCGGUGUGGGUCCAAAGGGCUUGCGCAAGAAAUUCUGGUUCAACUCCAGGUCUGGGUU